Molecule: RNA transcript, 933 nt
Organism: Juglans regia (Persian walnut)
Lineage: Eukaryota; Viridiplantae; Streptophyta; Magnoliopsida; Fagales; Juglandaceae
Exons: 5
Source: RefSeq, a predicted model, not a curated record
UCCCUCUGAAAUCCCGUCCCGCCCAUUAGAACUAUAGAAGUCCGACUCUCAAACUCUCCCAGAGAGGAAAGCAAUGGCGACCUCCCCACCUCACUCGGAUGCUCAACUCCUUACUGCUCCGGAAGCUGACUCUCAGCUCUCCUCUCUCGUCUACGAUAUGUUGCAAGAAUUCCAAGGGGCAAUGGAAAACAUGCUUAAAAUGAUUAAUGAGAUUGAUCAAAACUCUGCUGGAAUAAUGGAAGAGAUGGAGAAAUGCAAAGAUUCUGCUCUUGAGAGGAAGAGGACCUUGGAGGAAGAGAAGGAACGAUUUCAGAAAGCUGCUUACACUGUCUUAGACAUGUUCAACAGCAGAGAUUAAAAGUUGCCUGGGAAACAAUGACAUAUCUGUCACCGGAAUGACAAAUAGAUCAGAAGAUGACAUUUUCACAAAUAGCUAGGAUUGCAUUGUACCUGUCUAAGUGCCACUGGAUUUCUCUUACCUGUUAAAAUUUUGUUUUCCUGUAUGUAUGGAAUGAAGACUCAACUUUGGUGAAGUUUGAGUUUUUUUUUCCUACCUUCAUUGCCCCCCUCUCCUCCCAUUUUGUAUGGAAGCAUUCCCACAAAAUUGAGGCUAAAAUGGUUGCUGUUGAAAGUGUAUAGUGACGAGAAUUGAUCUGUUUUUUUUAAGAGAAAAUGCGGCCUUUCAGCAAGUCUGAUGUGGUUUGUUGCAUCUUCUUGUAGAUACACUAGAAACUAUCAGUAGUCUGUCAGAUGUAAUCUCUUGUAAGUUUUGAUCCAGAAUUUGCAUCAAGGGCAGGACAGUCUCUCUAUGAUUGUUCAUCCUCUUAAAUUCUUAUUUUGUGCAAAAAUAUGCGAUUCCCUAUUAAAAUUUGUAAGCCUUUUUUUUUUUUGUUCACUUUGAUGUAAUGUGAAUGAAAUCUCUGGGUUACAUGA